This 515-nucleotide ribosomal RNA is filed under the name uncultured bacterium. RNAcentral's name for it is "partial 16S ribosomal RNA". It matches the Rfam family "Bacterial small subunit ribosomal RNA", at positions 28 to 523 of the family's 1533-position model. The record is from RNAcentral.
GAUGAACGCUGGCGGCGUGCCUAAUACAUGCAAGUCGAGCGAAUAGAUUAAGAGCUUGCUCUUAUGAAGUUAGCGGCGGACGGGUGAGUAACACGUGGGUAACCUGCCCAUAAGACUGGGAUAACUCCGGGAAACCGGGGCUAAUACCGGAUAACAUUUUGAACCGCAUGGUUCGAAAUUGAAAGGCGGCUUCGGCCGUCACUUAUGGAUGGACCCGCGUCGCAUUAGCUAGUUGGUGAGGUAACGGCUCACCAAGGCAACGAUGCGUAGCCGACCUGAGAGGGUGAUCGGCAACGCUUGGACUGAGACACGGCCCAGACUCCUACGGGAGGCAGCAGUAGGGAAUCUUCCGAAAUGGACGAAAGGCUGACGGAGCAACGCCGCGUGAGUGAUGAAGGCUUUCGGGUCGUAAAACUCUGUUGUUAGGGAAGAACAAGUGCUAGUUGAAUAAGCUGGCACCUUGACGGUACCUAACCAGAAAGCCACGGCUAACUACGUGCCAGCAGCCGCCGUAA